GACGAACGCUGGCGGCGUGCUUAACACAUGCAAGUCGAACGGAAAGGCCCUGCUUUUGUGGGGUGCUCGAGUGGCGAACGGGUGAGUAACACGUGAGUAACCUGCCCUUGACUUUGGGAUAACUUCAGGAAACUGGGGCUAAUACCGGAUAGGAGCUCCUGCUGCAUGGUGGGGGUUGGAAAGUUUCGGCGGUUGGGGAUGGACUCGCGGCUUAUCAGCUUGUUGGUGGGGUAGUGGCUUACCAAGGCUUUGACGGGUAGCCGGCCUGAGAGGGUGACCGGCCACAUUGGGACUGAGAUACGGCCCAGACUCCUACGGGAGGCAGCAGUGGGGAAUAUUGCACAAUGGGCGGAAGCCUGAUGCAGCAACGCCGCGUGCGGGAUGACGGCCUUCGGGUUGUAAACCGCUUUCGCCUGUGACGAAGCGUGAGUGACGGUAAUGGGUAAAGAAGCACCGGCUAACUACGUGCCAGCAGCCGCGGUGAUACGUAGGGUGCGAGCGUUGUCCGGAUUUAUUGGGCGUAAAGGGCUCGUAGGUGGUUGAUCGCGUCGGAAGUGUAAUCUUGGGGCUUAACCCUGAGCGUGCUUUCGAUACGGGUUGACUUGAGGAAGGUAGGGGAGAAUGGAAUUCCUGGUGGAGCGGUGGAAUGCGCAGAUAUCAGGAGGAACACCAGUGGCGAAGGCGGUUCUCUGGGCCUUUCCUGACGCUGAGGAGCGAAGCGUGGGGAGCGAACAGGCUUAGAUACCCUGGUAGUCCACGCUGUAAACGGUGGGUACUAGGUGUGGGGUCCAUUCCACGGGUUCCGUGCCGUAGCUAACGCUUUAAGUACCCCGCCUGGGGAGUACGGCCGCAAGGCUAAAACUCAAAGGAAUUGACGGGGCCCCGCACAAGCGGCGGAGCAUGCGGAUUAAUUCGAUGCAACGCGUAGAACCUUACCUGGGUUUGACAUGGGUCGGGAGUGCUCAGAGAUGGGUGUGCCUCUUUUGGGGUCGGUUCACAGGUGGUGCAUGCCUGUCGUCAGCUCGUGUCGUGAGAUGUUGGGUUAAGUCCCGCAACGAGCGCAACCCUUGUUCACUGUUGCCAGCACGUUAUGGUGGGGACUCAGUGGAGACCGCCGGGGUCAACUCGGAGGAAGGUGGGGAUGACGUCAAGUCCUCAUGCCCCUUAUGUCCAGGGCUUCACGCAUGCUACAAUGGCUGGUACAGAGAGUGGCGAGCCUGUGAGGGUGAGCGAAUCUCGGAAAGCCGGUCUCAGUUCGGAUUGGGGUCUGCAACUCGACCUCAUGAAGUCGGAGUCGCUAGUAAUCGCAGAUCAGCAACGCUGCGGUGAAUAAAUUCCCGGGGCU
This 1345-nucleotide ribosomal RNA is filed under the name uncultured bacterium. Its description in RNAcentral is "bacterial SSU rRNA". It matches the Rfam family "Bacterial small subunit ribosomal RNA", at positions 28 to 1381 of the family's 1533-position model. The record is from RNAcentral.